GAGCAAAUGAAGAAAUUACUACUCUAAAGGUGAAGGUGGGGAGCCUUGAAGAGAAAGUCAGAUUGCUUGAGGAUGACAAGCAAUUUUUACAACAGAGAUUAAGUGAUGUAUUGGUAUUGAGGAAAAUAGUGACUGAACGAAGCCCUGAGUCAGACACAAGCACCAGUGAUGGCACUGAAGACACGGACAGCAGCUAUGAGGAAGUGGAAAGCACAGAUUCUGAAUCCUCAUCCUGUAAGCGUAACAAAAGGGAGGCAAGAAAGAAUAAACAACUGUGGAAGAAAGCAACUAAGGAAGAUGGCAGUGAUGCAUUGAUGGAAAAGAAAGGAAGGCAAGGAAGCGAAAGUUGACCAAGGAUUCUGAUACAAGUUGUGACACUGAAGACCAAAGACUAACAAAAAGGAGCAAGAAAAAGAAGGUACAACAGAAGAUGAAGGAUACUACAAAGAAAAAAGUCCUAAAGCCUGAAGAUGCCAUUUCCAGGUACAGGUGUGUACUAAAAGCUGUGUCCAGAGGAAUGUCAAAGACUGAUGCCUACACCUAUGUUGGCGUCAAUCCCAAAACAAUUGUUGACACUGCAGCAAUUGCCGAGCUGA
Astyanax mexicanus (Mexican tetra) is the source of this 596-nucleotide long non-coding RNA. RefSeq lists it as uncharacterized. The record is from RefSeq and is a predicted model, not a curated record. The transcript has 3 exons. NCBI's taxonomy places the organism in Eukaryota, Metazoa, Chordata, Actinopteri, Characiformes, Acestrorhamphidae.